GCCAGCUGCAGUGGUGUGCGUCUGUAGUCUUGAUACUUUGGGAGGCCGAGGUGGGAGGAUUGCUUGAGGACAGGAAUUUGAGACCAGCCGGGGCAACAUAGCAAGACCCCAUCUCUGCCAAAAAAAAAAAAAAAAAAGAGUCAGGAGGAUUGCUUGAGCCCAGGAGUUCUGGGCUAUUGUGAACUAGGUGAUCGGGCGUCUGCACUAAGUUUGGCAUCAAUAUGGUGAUGUUUUGGGAGCAGGGACCACCAGGUUGCCUAAGGUGUCUGAGGAGGGGUUUCCAGGUUGGAAACGGAGCAGUUCGACACCCCCGAGCUGAUCAGUAGUGCGACUGCUCCUGUGAGUAGCCGCUGCACUCCAGCUUGGGCAGCAUAGCGCCACCCCACUU
Molecule: signal recognition particle RNA, 388 nt
Filed under: Gorilla gorilla gorilla (western lowland gorilla)
Lineage: Eukaryota; Metazoa; Chordata; Mammalia; Primates; Hominidae
Description: Metazoan signal recognition particle RNA
Rfam family: Metazoan signal recognition particle RNA
About the family: The signal recognition particle (SRP) is a universally conserved ribonucleoprotein. It is involved in the co-translational targeting of proteins to membranes.
Source: Rfam by way of RNAcentral